Molecule: ribosomal RNA, 253 nt
Filed under: uncultured bacterium
Lineage: Bacteria
Description: partial 16S ribosomal RNA
Rfam family: Bacterial small subunit ribosomal RNA
Source: RNAcentral
GACAGAGGGUGCAAACGUUGUUCGGAAUUACUGGGCGUAAAGCGCGUGUAGGCGGCAAUACAAGUCGGAUGUGAAAUCCCGCGGCUUAACCGUGGAAGUGCACCCGAAACUGUAUCGCUAGAGUCCCGGAGAGGAUGGUGGAAUACUUGGUGUAGAGGUGAAAUUCGUAGAUAUCAGGAAGAACACCAACGGCGAAGGCAGCUCGCUGGGACGGUACUGACGCUGAGACGCGAAAGCGUGGGGAGCGAACAGG